CCUCCAAGUGCUUUCUUUGUUUUCAUGUAUGCCCAUUUGCAUUUUUGGUCUCUAUCAUUUCUGUCUAUUGUUCUUAUAUAUUACCUUUUUUAUGCCGCUUGGCAGACUACAACAAUAAUUUGGUAAUCCAUCUAUGAGAAGCACGGUGUUAUACACAGUUUAGUUUGAAUUGUGAUACUGAAACGACUUGUGCCGAACUGUUUUUAUAGGCUAGAGGGGCUGUUGAAUUCGACAAGGCAAAGUCUGAGGUUAAUGGUGAUGAGGACGAUGAGAACAGUGGAGACGUUAGUUGAAAUUAAGCUAUACAACUUUUUUGUACUUGAAACUUUGCUACUAUGUUGACUUUUUAUUUUGUUUUAAUUAAUUUAGGGGGAAGACGAUGAGUAAGCACUAUUACAGAAAACUGGAUUUUGGAUUCAAGGUGAGAACCAACAAUCAAUCUUCCUUCAUUAUUUGCAUUUAUGGCUUCAGGUUUUGUAAAAUGUUCGAUUUGAAAGUGAGUUAAUUGGAUUGGUAGAUUUCAUGAAGAAUUAUUGUGUAAAAUUUGGCUUCAGGUGAAUUUUACUGAAAUUAAUUGAAAGUAAUUAUCAAUAAUACUCCUUUUUUAAUUUUUAUUUUUUAAAGUUGCUAAUGUGUUUGUUCUUCCUUUCAGUGAGGGAACAAGCAUCUCUUUGCCAUUAACUUGGGGCAAAAAAAGAGAGGAAACGUAUGCCUUGUUUUUCAUUAUUGCCUAUUGGUACACAAGACGUAUUUAGAGGAAAGGGGUGGAGGAAGAGGGGGUUGAGUGCUUGUAGACCAUGAGCAAAAAUGGCAGACUACAAUAAGAAUUUGGUAAUUUCAUCUAUGAAAUUCUCUAUUACAAUGCACUACGUGCAUCUCACAUGCGAAGAACUAGUUCGAUAAAUAUUCAAUAUUUUGCAGCAAGCUUCAUAUCUUGUUAAAUUUUGAAGGUCCUUCCUUUUGUGAAAUCAUUUAAGUUAAAAAUGUUAAGAGAGAAAAACAUUAAUUUAUUAAUAUCUUCAAAACUCUUCUUAUGGUGCAGGUAGAUUUAAUUUUUCUAUAAACAUUAAAUUUCUGACUUUGAUGGGGAUGAUGUUAUUAUUUUACAGAUUUUCAUCUGGUCGUCCAUUACCAAUACAAUUUCGAGACUCGAUUUGAUUAGAGACUAAUAGCUCAGUCAUCUACCAGGUCAAGAAAGUUAUUAAUUGGGUUAGUUGCUGUAAGCUUGUGGGCUGACCACCUAUAUGCCUGCUUUGCAUAUAUUUCGUUGCCAGCUCCAAUCCACAUCAUUUGAUGACGUGUUGUUUACAACAAAUUUGACUUGUACACAAUAUCUGUUAUUACGAGAGUUAGAGAGAGAGGCCAAUUCAAACCAUCAUUUGGUGACACAUUUUUUAAGAGCAAUCGUGGAACCUAUAUUUGUUAAGUGAAGUCAAUGUUAUGCUGAAGCAAACAAAAGAUUAUGACGAUUGAGGAUAGUCAAGUUCACAUUUCACUUCUUAUCUUUCCAUUCUCUCUCUUUUAGAGUAAAGAUCAUUUGUAGUAUUUCGUGGCUACCAAAUAUUCAAAUACUCCAGGGAACAUUGUAGAUGUAAAAUUCUGCAUUAUAUAAUAGGAGGAAUUUCUUUUUUUUUUUUUUUUUUCCUAAAUGGAUUAUCAGGUAAGUUGUCAUUAUUUGCAAUAGUAAUAGGCUUUUUAUUAUGAUGUGCAGUUGCACAUGUCCAUGUGUGUCC
RNAcentral lists this long non-coding RNA (1733 nucleotides) under Olea europaea subsp. europaea. The record is from RNAcentral. Lineage: Eukaryota; Viridiplantae; Streptophyta; Magnoliopsida; Lamiales; Oleaceae.